GUCGUGGCCGGAACAGCUGCUUUACGGCUAGCUCGGCUUCCCGCAGGCGUGCAGAGCUUGCCGCGGCUGCUUUGCUGCACGUGUGGCGCUGUCGGCGGUUCGUUUGGUAAUCUCUCUUAUUGGCUUGGUGGUGCCACCGUGAAGAACGGAGUGGCAGCUUCGGCCUAGGCUCGUGAGCUCAUGGAAUCUGCAGCUGAGAAGGAAGGGACUCCGGGAGGAGGUUCCCAGAGGGUAGCGGAGGGGGCGCGGCCGAGGCCUGCGGCUGGUGGGGAGGGAGCCAGGGACUUAGACGGGAGCCCAGAAGCUGGCGAUGGAGAGGAGAGGAACGGACUGGCAGGAACUAAGACCACGGAGGAUGCGGAGGAGAUAAAGAUGGACUUAGCUGUGGUGAAGCAGGAAGUAGUAGACUGGUCGGAUUUAGACAGUGGUGUUGCGGACAGCCAGUGGGUGAAGCAGGAGGUGGAGGGCGGGCCCGAGGUGAAGGAUGAGAAAGGCGUGUUGGAAGUGAAGCAGGAGGCGGAUAGUAGCCUGGUGGUGAAAGAAGAGGAGGUGGAUGAGCCAGAAGUGAAGGAAGAGAAGGUGAAGGUGAAGGAGGAGGUGACGGACUGGGAAGAAGUGAAGGAGGAGGACUUGACCAUAAAACAGGAGUUGUUUGUUGGUCAGAACGUAAAGGAAGAGCAAGUGAUGGAUGCAGCGCCUAUAAAAGAAGAGGGUUCCCUCAAGAGCGAAGCGAUGGAAGACGCGAAGGUGAAGGAAGAGCCCCAGAUGAACCCCCGAGUGGGCAGCAAGAGGAAAUUGGCUCUGUCAAGGUGUGAGACUUGUGGGACAGAAGAAGCGAAGUACAGAUGUCCACGCUGCAUGCGCUUUUCCUGCAGUUUGCCCUGUGUAAAGAAACACAAAGCUGACCUGACGUGCAGUGGAGUCCGGGAUAAGACCGCUUAUGUGUCGCUGCAGCAGUUUACUGAGAUGAAUCUCCUGAGUGACUAUAGAUUUUUGGAAGACGUGGCAAGAACGGCAGACAAGGUUUCAAGAGAUACUUUCUUGAAAAGACCAAAGCGCAAAAAAUAUCUGUUCUUUAUGAAGAAUCGUGCCCGAAAGCAAGGCAUUUACUUGAGGCUUCUACCCAAUGGAUUUAGCAAGAGAAAAGAGAAUUCAACAGUUUUUGACCAUAGAUGAGUCUGGAGGACAGCAGCUCACAGUGCUUAAUCAUGAGGAAAUGUGCUCGGAAACUCGGGACGCAGGCUCACCCACCUCACACGCCCCAGCUGCGAGAACCACCCCCUAAGUCAGGAAGACAAACGUCCCUCAGGUUCAGAACUUCUGUUCUUUCCGCUUACCAACCUUACCAACAAGUCCGUGACUCCAGGACGUCGUUCCCACGGCUUUAGAAAGUGGCAAGCGGCCCUGAAUAAAAGCAGUAGUCAAGGAAGCAGCAGUUUUGUUGGCAUGUCAAGCUCCAGUUUCCUCAGAGUCAAGCAGAGUACAUAGAAAAAAGAGUACCAGAUGAUAAAACUAUUAAUGAAAUUCUAAAGCCUUACAUCGAUCCUGAAGAGUCUGACCCUGUGAUCCGUCAGAGAUUGAAAGCUUACGCACAGUCACAGACUGGGGUCCAAAUUUUAAUGAGGGUCGAAAAUAUGCAGCAAAAUAUGAUAAGGUAUCAUGAACUGGAUCCUUACAAAAGCCUUUCAGACAACUUGAAGGACAAAGUGAUCAUUGAGUACCCGACUUUGCACGUGGUGUUGAGAGGAUCUAGUAAUGACAAGCAGCUACUUCAAGUGAAAAGUGAGUCUGCCCAGAAGCUUGGCAAUGGAAAUUAAGCACUGAGAAAGAAGGUGGCCGUUCCCAGAGGGCUGAGAAGAUUGUGUGUUACUGGACUGCUGGGUGACUGGGUCCGUCAGUGGGUAGUGUGUUGUUUAUCCAAAAAGUAAUUAAACAGCAUAAGGUUUCUCACGGGGAGAAAGUGCAUGUUACUGCCUUUUGAGCUAAGUGACUUAUAAACCCUCUUCUUCCAUAGGAUGAGCUCCUGGUUCACCCGACUGCUGUAGUCCUUGCUAGGCAUUCAGUGUGCUCAUUUCUAUAAGCUGAAAACCUGUUUUAUUUGUUAAGUUGUCACGAGACCAAGCCCAAGGGUCACCUGUGUCAACCACAACGCUGGCGCUCUCUGUGGUCUCAGCUCUCUGAAGAGAAUGCCUCACAUCAAAGCAUCUAGCUAGGGAGAAGCCGCUGUCCAGGAGUUGGCUGUCCUCUGGUUGGGCUUAUGUGCUAUACAAAGGGUUCAUGUGGAGCCGUGUUGUUGCCAGGGCCACAGGGAAGACGGGAGGCUCCAUCUCACGGGAUGCAGAUGGAGCCAAAGGUGGAGUCUGUGUCCCUGACACGGGCAGGAAGGAAUUGAACUGAACUGUCUGGGGGUUUGGGGGAAGAGGGAGAAAGUACACAGAAGGACAUGUGAUCCAAGUGUGGGGAGUGAGGGCUCUCCUCACUGAAAUCAGCACUUUCCUCUGAAGUUGAAGAAAAGUGUUGAGCUUUAUAAAACUAAACAAAGAAAAAAUUUAUUCUGUGCUUUCCUCUGCUUCCCGGAGUUCACCUAAAUAUAACUGCCAGCUCAUUUGGCUAAUAUGCAUAUUUAUUCCCAAUUUAUAAUGAACAUGUGUUAUGUGUUGUCUUAGUUAAGACUUUAUGUUGUGAACAGACACCAUGACCUAGGCAACUCUUCAAAAGAGCAUUUCAUUGGAGCUGGCUUACAGGUUCAGAGGUUCAGUCAAUGAUCACGAAGGUAGGAUCAUAGCAGUGUCCAUAUGUGGUACAGGAGAUGCUGAGAGUUGUACGUCUUCAUCUGAAGGCUGCUAGCAGAAUGCUGACUUCUGGGCAUUGGGGAUGAGGGUCUCAAUUGCGUUGGCAUUGAACAUCAGAAGCCCACAUCCACAGUGCCACGCCUACUCCAACAGAGCCACACCGUCUAAUAGUGCCUCCCCUGGGCUGAGCAUGUGCAAACCAUCACAUGUGUCAUAAUGAAUAAUCGUGUUAUACUUACAGGGGGUGAGGUUGGAAUAGUUUGCUGAGAGCCCUGGAAGGCAGAGGUAUUAAAGCUCACUCUUAGAUUCGGACAAAUUCUGGAGGACACAGGCUGAGACAGUGACAAGUUUGUCAUCUGCAGUCUGUCCAUGGAUUACCUUCUAGGAGGGGAGAACCUGCAUCUGGCCUCUUAGUUUUUAAACAGUGAUUUCAGAGACAAAAUGUGCUAGUUAUCACAUAUAGGGUUAAUAUCAUAAUUUAUAACAUAUAAAAUUUGCAAGUUCAAGAACCUAAAUUUGAACCUCAGAACCUACAUUUACAGAAAAAGCAACAGCUGUCAGGCGUGUAAUUCCAGGCCAGCCUGGCCUGGCUUACUGUGACUUCAAGGUCAGUGAGAAACGUCUCAAUCAAGGUGGUGGGCACGGACAGCACACACAGUUCUCCUCUGGCUGCACACAUGCACGCUGCAUCCUUGAGCCCUUGCCAAGCCAGCAGUGUGAGCCUACUCUUUCCUGUUUCAUAUUCUUGGUGAGUAGUUGAAGGCUCCAGAGCUGCUUUUUCUCCCCAUUCCUUACUGUGAUCCUUUACUUAGGAUCUUAGAGUCACUUAAAUGCAGCGUCAUCAUGGAGGAGACUGAGGUCCAGCCAGACUAAGGCUUGUGCUCAAGACCACUUGGAUUAAGUGAGCCAGCAUUGCAUUCAAGCCAGGGCAGUUGAGCUUCCUAGAUUACAUCUUUAACUGUUGGGCUACAGUCUCAGCUAGGCUCUGUAUCAGAGACUAUCUGGGAUUCCUGCUGUCUCAAGUUACUGUGGCUAAACUUGCCACAGACAUUUUGUUCUUCAUACUUGUGACCAGUUAUGAGUUCCUGUGUUUACCACCCUCCACUAUGCAAAAAAACUUCUCUAAUGAGCUCUGAGAGCUGCUCUCAAUGAUAAACUUGUGGGUUAUUAAUUUCUUUUCUUUUCUUUUUUUUUCUCUUCCUUUCCUUUCCUUUUUCCUUUCCUUUUUCCUUUCCUUUUUCCUUUCCUCUUUCCUUUCCUCUUUCCUUUCCUCUUUCCUUUCCUCUUUCCUUUCCUUUCCUUUCCUUUCCUUUCCUUUCCUUUCCUUUCUUUUCCUUUCCUUUCCUUUCCUUUCCAGGAUCCCCUGUGUUCUGGACUAGCUUCAAGUUUACAAGUAGCCAAGAAUGGCCUUGAGCACCCACCUGAUCGUCUGCCUCCACCCCCCAGUUCUGGGAUGGUAGAUACCCAACCAACCACUUCUUUUUUUUAUUUAAAGAAGGUUGUUCAUAAUUUGUUAGACCACUCUUCUCCAUUUCUCCCAAAACGUUGGCAUCUGGUCUUUUUCAUUGUCUCCUGUGAAUUAGCCACGGCUGAACUAAGUACCACUGAGAGCUAUCGCAGCAGUCUUGUGACAGCAUGGCUGUCCCACACUGCCUGGUCAGUGGGCCCACAUGGAAAGGACACAAACAUGCCCAAAUAACUGGACGACUGUCGUGUUGGCAUAUUGAGCAUCAGAAGCCUCCUGUGCUUGGCCUGCUGGUGAAUCCAGCUAUAACUACUGGGCCCUCAGACAGGACAGGCUCGAGGGGUAGAGUUUGUGGGCGCGAUUGCAGCUAUGGGAGGUAGGGCCUUUUGGAAUCCCUAGGAAAGGCUUCAGGAACAGAAAUCAAAUGGUUGAAGGAAAUCCAUGAAGCUAGCAGGGCAGACACGGAAGGUCUUGGAGACCAUAUGAGUGUUCAUUCCAUAGACUAGAGACACGUGUUCAUCUCUGACAUAAGCACCAACUCGAGAAGGUUUUAUUUUUAAAAGCAAGCUUCCUAUCUCUCUUAGGAGAGGCAGAGACGUUUACACGGCGAUUUCACAUUUUUAUUUCAGAAAACUCAAGUUUCUCCUGGGUUUCUGUUUAGCACUCUAGUUAUUUUUGCUGUUAGAAGAAACUGUCACAAUCUACCUCUUGGUAUCUUGAUUCUUUUGGCUCCUUGAACAUCGGUUCUGGUUUAAGUCCAUAUGGUAUAAAUCUGUGGUGCAGAGACAGUCCCUAAAGCCCAGUAACUUUUUAUUUUCCUAGAGCCCUGUGGUCCUCCAUUUGACUGGUACUCUGUGUUCCUAAAGAAAAAAGAAUUCAGUUUCUGUGUUUUGAAGUAUGGGGGGCUGGCUAACCAGGCACUGGGAUUCUCUGCUUUUAGAACUUUCACCACUGUGAGAGACGGUGGUGAUCUUUCCAUGUCCCUGACAGAUUGGAAGGUGGUUUUCAAGUUCUCCACUUCAGAUCUCUCCCUGGAAAGCUUGGUCAGUUGUUCAGCCAACAUCCUUGGCCUCUGCAGCUGUUGCAGCUUAGAAGCCUGUAAUAGUUUUCACAACAUUUGGACCCUCACAGACAGAACUUCUAAGCACUGAGAUGGAAAAGUGGAGGGGCAAAGAAAGUGGGUAUCCAGUUUUCCAGGUAAUAGACUCCAUAAGGAAGCUACUGUGUGGCUUGACCCAUGUGGACAGUCAAGGGGAAGGAAUGACCCAGGUGUUUCUUCAUUGCUUUCCUAGGUGGCAAGGAGGGCAGCUGUGACCUUUGAGUUGAUUCUUUUUUUCCCUGACCAGCUUGUGUGUCCUUAGGAGUGAGAGAGGAAGCAAGUUAGAUACCAAGUCCUGUCA
RNA transcript from Mus musculus (house mouse), 5657 nucleotides. It is a transcript of the gene named zinc finger, HIT type 6, with no coding region annotated. The record is from RefSeq and is marked validated. Lineage: Eukaryota; Metazoa; Chordata; Mammalia; Rodentia; Muridae. The transcript is spliced from 11 exons.